UACGUAGGGUGCGAGCGUUAAUCGGAAUUACUGGGCGUAAAGCGUGCGCAGGCGGUGAUGUAAGACAGAUGUGAAAUCCCCGGGCUCAACCUGGGAACUGCAUUUGUGACUGCAUCGCUGGAGUGCGGCAGAGGGGGAUGGAAUUCCGCGUGUAGCAGUGAAAUGCGUAGAUAUGCGGAGGAACACUGAUGGCGAAGGCAAUCCCCUGGGCCUGCACUGACGCUCAUGCACGAAAGCGUGGGGAGCAAACAGG
Molecule: ribosomal RNA, 253 nt
Filed under: uncultured bacterium
Lineage: Bacteria
Description: partial 16S ribosomal RNA
Rfam family: Bacterial small subunit ribosomal RNA
Source: RNAcentral